AACGAACGCUGGCGGCAGGCCUAACACAUGCAAGUCGAACGCCGUAGCAAUACGGAGUGGCAGACGGGUGAGUAACACGUGGGAACGUACCCUUUGGUUCGGAAUAACUCAGGGAAACUUGAGCUAAUACCGGAUAAGCGCGAGAGCGGAAAGAUUUAUCGCCGAAGGAUCGGCCCGCGUCCGAUUAGCUAGUUGGUGAGGUAAUGGCUCACCAAGGCGACGAUCGGUAGCUGGUCUGAGAGGAUGAUCAGCCACACUGGGACUGAGACACGGCCCAGACUCCUACGGGAGGCAGCAGUGGGGAAUAUUGGACAAUGGGCGCAAGCCUGAUCCAGCCAUGCCGCGUGAGUGAUGAAGGCCCUAGGGUUGUAAAGCUCUUUCGGCCGGGAAGAAAUCGCACAGGUUAAUGCCCUGUGUGGAUGACGGUACCGGAAUAAGAAGCACCGGCUAACUACGUG
This 458-nucleotide ribosomal RNA is filed under the name uncultured bacterium. RNAcentral's name for it is "bacterial SSU rRNA". It matches the Rfam family "Bacterial small subunit ribosomal RNA", at positions 29 to 507 of the family's 1533-position model. The record is from RNAcentral.